This 429-nucleotide ribosomal RNA is filed under the name Gemmatimonadota bacterium. RNAcentral's name for it is "Gemmatimonadetes bacterium partial 16S ribosomal RNA". It matches the Rfam family "Bacterial small subunit ribosomal RNA", at positions 355 to 776 of the family's 1533-position model. The record is from RNAcentral. Lineage: Bacteria; Pseudomonadati; Gemmatimonadota.
UAGGGAAUCUUCGGCAAUGGACGAAAGUCUGACCGAGCAACGCCGCGUGAGUGAAGAAGGUUUUCGGAUCGUAAAACUCUGUUGCUAGAGAAGAACAAGGACGUUAGUAACUGAACGUCCCCUGACGGUAUCUAACCAGAAAGCCACGGCUAACUACGUGCCAGCAGCCGCGGUAAUACGUAGGUGGCAAGCGUUGUCCGGAUUUAUUGGGCGUAAAGCGAGCGCAGGCGGUUUCUUAAGUCUGAUGUGAAAGCCCCCGGCUCAACCGGGGAGGGUCAUUGGAAACUGGGAGACUUGAGUGCAGAAGAGGAGAGUGGAAUUCCAUGUGUAGCGGUGAAAUGCGUAGAUAUAUGGAGGAACACCAGUGGCGAAGGCGGCUCUCUGGUCUGUAACUGACGCUGAGGCUCGAAAGCGUGGGGAGCAAACAGG